Molecule: ribosomal RNA, 465 nt
Filed under: uncultured bacterium
Lineage: Bacteria
Description: partial 16S ribosomal RNA
Rfam family: Bacterial small subunit ribosomal RNA
Source: RNAcentral
GACGAACGCUGGCGGCGUGCUUAACACAUGCAAGUCGUACGGUAAGGCCCUUUCGGGGUUACACGAGUGGCGAACGGGUGCGUAACACGUGAGUAACCUUCCCACUACUUUUGGUUAACGCGAAGAAAGUGGUGCUAAUAAUGGUUAUAUGCCCCUCCUGCUAGGUGGGGGUUGGAAAGCUCCGGCGGGUGUGGAUGGACUCGCGGCCUAUUAGCUGGUUGGUGGGGUAGUGGCCUACCAAGGCGGCGACGGGUAGCCGGCCUGAGAGGGUGACCGGCGACAUUGGGACUGAGAUACGGCACAGACUCCGACGGGAGGCAGCAGUGGGGAAUAUUGAACAAUGGGCGCAAGCCUGAUGAAGCAGCGCCGCGUGCGGGAUGACGGCUUUCUGGUUGUAGAACGCUUUCAGCAGGGACGAAGCUUUUUGUGACGGUACCUGAAGAAGAAGCACCGGCUAACUACGUG